AGAGUUUGAUCCUGGCUCAGAUUGAACGCUGGCGGCAUGCUUUACACAUGCAAGUCGAACGGUAACGCGGGGGCAACCCUGGCGACGAGUGGCGAACGGGUGAGUAAUACAUCGGAACAUAUCCAGUAGCGGGGGAUAACCUAUCGAAAGAUGGACUAAUACCGCAUACGAUCUACGGAUGAAAGCAGGGGACCGCAAGGCCUUGCACUAUUGGAGUGGCCGAUGUCGGAUUAGCUAGUUGGUGAGGUAAAGGCUUACCAAGGCGACGAUCCGUAGCUGGUCUGAGAGGACGAUCAGCCACACUGGAACUGAGACACGGUCCAGACUCCUACGGGAGGCAGCAGUGGGGAAUUUUGGACAAUGGGCGCAAGCCUGAUCCAGCCAUGCCGCGUGAGUGAAGAAGGCCUUCGGGUUGUAAAGCUCUUUCGGUGAAGACGAAACGGUUCGUGCUAAUAACGCGGACUAAUGACGGUACUCACAGAAGAAGCACCGGCUAACUACGUGCCAGCAGCCGCGGUAAUACGUAGGGUGCAGGCGUUAAUCGGAAUUACUGGGCGUAAAGCGUGCGCAGGCGGUUUGCUAAGACAGGUGUGAAAUCCCCGGGCUUAACCUGGGAAUUGCGCUUGUAACUGGCAAGCUAGAGUGUAGCAGAGGGGGGUGGAAUUCCACGUGUAGCAGUGAAAUGCGUAGAUAUGUGGAGGAACACCGAUGGCUAAGGCAGCCCCCUGGGUUAACACUGACGCUCAUGCACGAAAGCGUGGGGAGCAAACAGGAUUAGAUACCCUGGUAGUCCACGCCCUAAACUAUGUCAACUAGUUGUCGGGGAAGAAAUUCCUUGGUAACGAAGCUAACGCGUGAAGUUGACCGCCUGGGGAGUACGGCCGCAAGGUUAAAACUCAAAGGAAUUGACGGGGACCCGCACAAGCGGUGGAUUAUGUGGAUUAAUUCGAUGCAACGCGAAAAACCUUACCUACCCUUGACAUGCUAGGAAGCCCGCAGAGAUGUGGGUGUGCCCGAAAGGGAACCUAGACACAGGUGCUGCAUGGCUGUCGUCAGCUCGUGUCGUGAGAUGUUGGGUUAAGUCCCGCAACGAGCGCAACCCUUGCCAUUAGUUGCUACAUUCAGUUGGGCACUCUAAUGGGACCGCCGGUGACAAACCGGAGGAAGGUGGGGAUGACGUCAAGUCCUCAUGGCCCUUAUGGGUAGGGCUUCACACGUAAUACAAUGGUCGGUACAGAGGGCUGCCAACCCGCAAGGGGGAGCUAAUCCCAGAAAGCCGAUCGUAGUCCGGAUUGUAGUCUGCAACUCGACUGCAUGAAGCCGGAAUCGCUAGUAAUCGCGGAUCAGCAUGUCGCGGUGAAUACGUUCCCGGGUCUUGUACACACCGCCCGUCACACCAUGGGAGUGGGUUCCACCAGAAGUAGUUAGCCUAACCGCAAGGAGGGCGAUUACACGGUGAGAUUCAUGACUGGGGUGAAGUCGAAACAAGGUAGCCGUAUCGGAAGGUGCGGCUG
RNAcentral lists this ribosomal RNA (1514 nucleotides) under metagenome. RNAcentral describes it as "bacterial SSU rRNA". It matches the Rfam family "Bacterial small subunit ribosomal RNA". The record is from RNAcentral.